Molecule: ribosomal RNA, 464 nt
Filed under: uncultured Comamonadaceae bacterium
Lineage: Bacteria; Pseudomonadati; Pseudomonadota; Betaproteobacteria; Burkholderiales; Comamonadaceae
Description: bacterial SSU rRNA
Rfam family: Bacterial small subunit ribosomal RNA
Source: RNAcentral
GACGGGACCCGCACAAGCGGUGGAUGAUGUGGUUUAAUUCGAUGCAACGCGAAAACCUUACCCACCUUUGACAUGUACGGAAGUUGCCAGAGAUGGCUUCGUGCUCGAAAGAGAGCCGUAACACAGGUGCUGCAUGGCUGUCGUCAGCUCGUGUCGUGAGAUGUUGGGUUAAGUCCCGCAACGAGCGCAACCCUUGUCAUUAGUUGCUACGAAAGGGCACUCUAAUGAGACUGCCGGUGACAAACCGGAGGAAGGUGGGGAUGACGUCAAGUCCUCAUGGCCCUUAUAGGUGGGGCUACACACGUCAUACAAUGGCUGGUACAAAGGGUUGCCAACCCGCGAGGGUGAGCCAAUCCCAAAAAGCCGGCCCCAGUACAGAUAGGAGUCUGCAACUCGACUCCUUGAGGGCGGAAUCGCUAGUAAUCGCUGAUCAGCUGGCAGCGGUGAAUACGUUCCCGGGUCUU